CCUACGGGGGGCAGCAGUGAGGAAUAUUGGUCAAUGGACGAGAGUCUGAACCAGCCAAGUAGCGUGAAGGAUGACUGCCCUAUGGGUUGUAAACUUCUUUUAUAUGGGAAUAAAAUGUUCCACGUGUGGGAUUUUGUAUGUACCAUAUGAAUAAGGAUCGGCUAACUCCGUGCCAGCAGCCGCGGUAAUACGGAGGAUCCGAGCGUUAUCCGGAUUUAUUGGGUUUAAAGGGAGCGUAGGUGGAUUGUUAAGUCAGUUGUGAAAGUUUGCGGCUCAACCGUAAAAUUGCAGUUGAAACUGGCAGUCUUGAGUACAGUAGAGGUGGGCGGAAUUCGUGGUGUAGCGGUGAAAUGCUUAGAUAUUACGAAGAACUCCGAUUGCGAAGGCAGUUCACUGGACUGCAACUGACACUGAGGCUCGAAAGUGUGGGUAUCAAACAGGAUUAGAUACCCUUGUAGUC
This 460-nucleotide ribosomal RNA is filed under the name uncultured bacterium. RNAcentral describes it as "partial 16S ribosomal RNA". It matches the Rfam family "Bacterial small subunit ribosomal RNA", at positions 338 to 795 of the family's 1533-position model. The record is from RNAcentral.